This 998-nucleotide ribosomal RNA is filed under the name uncultured Klebsiella sp. RNAcentral's name for it is "bacterial SSU rRNA". It matches the Rfam family "Bacterial small subunit ribosomal RNA", at positions 505 to 1502 of the family's 1533-position model. The record is from RNAcentral. Lineage: Bacteria; Pseudomonadati; Pseudomonadota; Gammaproteobacteria; Enterobacterales; Enterobacteriaceae.
GUCCCAGCAGCCCCGGUAAUAGGGAGGGUGCAAGCGUAAAUCGGAAUUACUGGGCGUAAAGCCCACGCGGGCGGUCUGUCAAGUCGGAUGUGAAAUCCCCGGGCUCAACCUGGGAACUGCAUUCGAAACUGGCAGGCUAAAGUCUUGUAGAGGGGGGUGUAAUUCCAGGUGUAGCGGUGAAAUGCGUAGAGAUCUGGAGGAAUACCGGUGGCGAAGGCGGCCCCCUGGACAAAGACUGACGCUCAGGUGCGAAAGCGUGGGGAGCAAACAGGAUUAAAUACCCUGGUAGUCCACGCCGUAAACGAUGUCGAUUUGGAGGUUGUGCCCUUGAGGCGUGGCUUCCGGAGCUAACGCGUUAAAUCGACCGCCUGGGGAGUACGGCCGCAAGGUUAAAACUCAAAUGAAUUGACGGGGGCCCGCACAAGCGGUGGAGCAUGUGGUUUAAUUCGAUGCAACGCGAAGAACCUUACCUGGUCUUGACAUCCACAGAACUUUCCAGAGAUGGAUUGGUGCCUUCGGGAACUGUGAGACAGGUGCUGCAUGGCUGUCGUCAGCUCGUGUUGUGAAAUGUUGGGUUAAGUCCCGCAACGAGCGCAACCCUUAUCCUUUGUUGCCAGCGGUUAGGCCGGGAACUCAAAGGAGACUGCCAGUGAUAAACUGGAGGACGGUGGGGAUGACGUCAAGUCAUCAUGGCCCUUACGACCAGGGCUACACACGUGCUACAAUGGCAUAUACAAAGAGAAGCGACCUCGCGAGAGCAAGCGGACCUCAUAAAGUAUGUCGUAGUCCGGAUUGGAGUCUGCAACUCGACUCCAUGAAGUCGGAAUCGCUAGUAAUCGUAGAUCAGAAUGUUACGGUGAAUACGUUCCCGGGCCUUGCUACACACCGCCCGUCACACCAUGGGAGUGGGUUGCAAAAGAAGUAGGUAGCUUAACCUUCGGGAGGGCGCUUACCACUUUGUGAAUCAUGACUGGGGUGAAGUCGUAACAAGGUAACCA